RNA transcript from Crotalus tigris (Tiger rattlesnake), 4408 nucleotides. It is a transcript of the gene named PAX interacting protein 1, with no coding region annotated. The transcript is spliced from 22 exons. NCBI's taxonomy places the organism in Eukaryota, Metazoa, Chordata, Lepidosauria, Squamata, Viperidae. The record is from RefSeq and is a predicted model, not a curated record.
CUUGCCAGAGAUGGUCUAUUCGAAAGCGCGCGCUCCACUACCACGGUUCGGCGGCUGCCUGGGCGCCGAGUGGGGCAGCACACAGGGAGAUCCCGGGCUUGACGGGGGUUCUUGAAUCAUCGCGCUGGGAAGCCGAAGCGGCUGCAUCGCUGGACGGGAUCAUGUCGAAGGAGGAAGACCAGGAGGUGCUGAAAGUCCCCGAGGAGAUGUUCAAAGAUGUCAAGUUCUUCGUGGUGGGAGACAUCGACCCCAAGGUUAUUCAGCUUCUGAAAGAUGGGAAGGCAAAGGAAGUUUCCUAUAAUGCUCUAGCAUCACACAUCAUUUCAGAAGAUGGGGAUAAUCCAGAAGUUGGUGAAUCUCGUGAAGUGUUUGAUCUUCCAGUAGUAAAACCUUCCUGGGUGACUUUGUCAGUUCAGUGUGGAGCUCUUCUGCCAGUAAAUGGCUUUUCCCCAGAAUCCUGUCAGAUCUUUUUUGGAGUUGUUGCUUGUCUGUCUCAGGUUUCCUCUGAAGACCGGAAUAUGUUGUGGGCCUUGAUUACAUUUUAUGGUGGGGAUUGCCGUUUGAUCCUCAAUAAAAAAUGUACUCAUUUGAUUGUGCCUGAAGCAAAAGGGGAAAAAUACGAAUGUGCCAGUAAACGAGAGAACAUUAAAAUUGUGACACCUGACUGGAUUCUAGAUUCUAUAUCUGAUAAAACCAAAAAAGAUGAGGUUCCCUAUCACCCUCGCUUAAUAAUAUAUGAAGAAGAAGAGGAAGAGGAGGAGGAGGAAGAAGAAAAUGAAGAACAGGAUUCCCAAAAUGAAGGGAGCACUGAUGAAAAGUUAUCAAGUCCAUCAUCUUCUCGAGAAGGGUCUCCUUUGGGCAAUCGAACUUUUUCUCCUAAGUCUGUUGAUGCUGACAAAAACAAAGGGGAACUUAUGUUUGAUGAUUCAUCAGAUUCCUCUCCUGAAAAGCAUGAAAGAAAUUUGAACUGGACCACGGCUGAAGUUCCACAGACUGUUGCCAGAAAACACACAUUGACUCCAGGCAAGGACUCUGGAUUGAUUAAUUUGUGUGCCAAUGUCCCACCUGUCCCAGGCAAUAUUUUGUCCCCUGAUAUCAGAAGUAAUAUAAUGGCUUCAGUACAAACUCCCCAAAGUUCUGGACAUCCAGAAAUGAUGGCAACAUGGAGUCCUGCAGUCCGGACACUAAGAAAUAUUACCAAUAAUGCUGAUAUUCAGCAGGUUAAUAGACAAUCAAAUGUAGCACAUAUCUUGCAGUCACUUUCAGCACCUACAAAAACUUUGGAGCCACAGAUAAACCAUAGCCAACAGGGACACUCCAGUGCGGUCCUGCUUAGCCAGGUCAAGCUGACUCCGGAGCCACGCCUAGUGCAGCCACCUCCGCAGCAGCAUCACCAUCUCUUGCAUCUCCAAACCCAGCAGCUCCUGCAGUUGCAGCAGCAGUCCCAGCCACCACAGGCUCAGAUUCCCCAAUCGCCUUUCUCACAGCAGCCUCAUCAGUUUGCCCCUCAGCAACAAGUCCAUCAGCACCAGUUUCCGCAACAGCAGCAGCAGCAGCAGCUCCCCUUUCCUUCCCAACUGGUACAUUCCCAGCAACAAAUGCAUCGCCCUCCACAACCAAUGCCGUUUCAGCAGCAGCAGUUGCAUCGAUUGCAACAGCAGCACUUGCAGCAGCAGCAAUUGCAGCUUCAGCAGCAAAACCUUCAGCACCUGCAGCAACAGCAACUUCAGCAGCAACAACUUCAGCAGCAGCACUUACAACGAAUGCAGCAGCAGCAGCAGCAAAUGCAAAAUCAGACAUCACAACACUUGACUCCAACAUCUCAGACGCUACACCAUCAAGUUUCAAUUCAGGCACCACACAAUCCCCAGCAGCAACAAUUGCAGCAAUAUCAACUGUUUGGGCAUGACCCAUCUGUAGAAGUUCCUGAAGAAUAUUUCUUACUGGGUUGCGUCUUUGCAAUUGCUGAUUACCCUGAACACAUGUCUGAUAAACAACUGUUGGCAACUUGGAAAAGGGUAAUCCAGACUCAUGGUGGUACAGUUGAUCCUACACUUACAAGCCGAUGUACACAUCUUCUUUGUGAAAGUCAACUUAGUAAUAUGUAUGCACAGGCUUUGAAAGAAAGGAAAAGAUGCAUCACUGCCCACUGGCUGAAUUCUAUGUUAAAAAAGAAGAAAAUGGUACCACCCCAUCGAGCUCGUCAUUUUCCAGUAGCAUUUCCACCCGGAGGAAAACCAUGUUCUCAGCAUAUAAUUGCUGUAACAGGUUUUGUGGAUAAUGACAGAGUCGAUCUCAAGUUGAUGGCCUACCUAGCAGGAGCAAAAUAUACAGGCUAUCUUUGUCGCAGUAACACCAUUCUUAUAUGUAAAGCGCCAACUGGCAUAAAGUAUGAAAAGGCCAAAGAGUGGAGGAUACCUUGUGUCAAUACACAAUGGCUCUGUGAUAUCUUACUUGGAAAUUUUGAAGCUUUGCGGCAAAUGCAGCACAAUCGAUACACAGUUUUCAGUCUUCAGGAACCCUUUGCUCCUAAUCAGCAUCUAGUUCUAAAUCUUCUUGAUGCUUGGAGGGUUCCUUUAAAGGUGUCACCUGAACUUCAAAUGAACAUGAGAUUACCACUUAAACCAAAGCAGAAUGAAACCGUAAUUCAACCUUCAACCAAAAGGCCGAGAAUUGAAGACUUGCCAGCACCCACAAAAAAACUGCCACCAGAAUUGACUCCAAUGGUUCUUUUUACAGGAUUUGAGCCUGCUCAAGCACAUCAAUACAUUAAGAAAGUCUAUGUUCUUGGGGGUGACAUAGCAGAGACUGCACAGAAGUGUACUCACGUGAUAGCUAGUAAAGUGACCCGCACUGUAAAAUUCCUGACAGCAGUUUCAAUUGCAAAACAUAUUGUAACACCGGAAUGGUUGGAAGAAUGUUUCAAAUGUCAGAAAUUUAUAGAAGAACAAAACUACAUGCUCCGAGAUGCAGAGGCUGAAGUCCUUUUCUCUUUCAGUUUGGAAGAAUCUCUAAAAAGAGCGCAAGCGGCACCACUCUUUAAGGGGAAAUAUUUCUAUAUUACUCCGGGAAUUUGUCCUAGUCUGUAUACUAUGAAAUCGAUUGUGGAAUCUGCAGGUGGGAAGUUAUUAUCUAAACAACCUUCUUUCAGAACAGUUAUGGAACACAAACAAAAUAAGAGCUUGUCAGAGAUUAUCCUUAUCUCUUGUGAAAAUGAUCUACACUUAUGUCGAGAAUACUUUACCAGGAAAAUAGGAGGAACCUUGUGGGCACUGCAGGAUUUCAGUCCUUCACAGCGUAGUGUGUUACCAAUCGUUUUCUUGGUGAUUAUGGUUCCAGCUGUCUUGAGAUCAUUGACAAGAUCCUCCUGUGUAGUUCUGGGCUGAUUCCUCAGUGUUCUCAUGAUCAUUGAAACCCCACAAGAUGUUCACAGCGCAGAAUUUGUUCUGACAGGAGUUCUUACUCAAACACUGGAUUAUGAUUCAUAUAAAUUUACUUGACUGUAAGGAAAAUGCCUUAUUUUGCUUCAAAUUUUUUGAAGCCUUCCUCUGAGCUUUUCCAGCCUAUGGAUUAUUUAAUCAGGACUUUGUUGAAUUCUUGUUCUCUUAUUUUGCUGAAGAGCAAAGAACAGUUGAAGUAGGAAAGCAAAAGUUUACUGCAUCGGUUUAGGAUGUGUAACUUUUUAAUAUUAAACUAACUAUGUUUUUAUACUAUACUGUAGACCAGAGAGAUUACUUUUUAUAUUGCAAAAUAGUUUCCUGAUUUUUUUAAGUUUUAAUAAUCAGCAGUAUUCAACCAAAAUGAAAAUGUAAAGGAAAAAGGGCUUGUGGUGUGUUUAAAUUAAGGAAGUAAAUAUUUUGUACUUUAUUUUAUUAUGCUUAUAUUAAUACUAUCCCGUGUUUUAAAUAAACGUAGUUUUAAAUAAUGUUUCCUUAAAAUUUAGUGGUCUUCGUUUUUAAAUGUUGUGCAAUUAUAGCACUUUCUGGUAAAAGUAAACUACUGUGUUUUCUCAAAUGAUGUAAGAUAUUUCAUUUAUUUUACCAGAUGUGUUUGAAUAUUAAAAUCCAAGUAUUUUAAGCAGAGUUUAUUAAUGAUAUGUGUGUUCCUGCUGCAAUUAGAUUGAAUUCAUUCAUAUUCUGCAGUGAUAUAUUUUAUCUGUAAUUUUUAUGAAAUAAAUAUGCAAAAUGGAAUUUAUGGAUGCAGUUAUUUCAUCCAAGUUGAAUUGGACUUUAAAAUGUUAUUGUUAAUCUAUUGUUAAUUUAAUCCAUUUAAUUUUAAUUUGGAUAUUCAUCAUUUUAACAGUAAUUCAGAUAUAACUAUUUCAGCAGCGUUGCAUAAAUUCCAGUUAGCUGGCAAUUUUAUAUAGUUCUAAAAACUUUUAUUGAAUUGAUAAAAUGUAAAAAUCAUU